This 379-nucleotide unclassified non-coding RNA is filed under the name Leontopodium haastioides. RNAcentral describes it as "partial contains external transcribed spacer and 18S ribosomal RNA". Lineage: Eukaryota; Viridiplantae; Streptophyta; Magnoliopsida; Asterales; Asteraceae. The record is from RNAcentral.
GCGCAACAACUUCCACCUGGCUUACCUUUUCAGUCUUGUGUCAUUGCUUGUAUCGCAUUGAAUGCAUGGUGGGUUUCUUGUGUUGCAUGCCUAAUUGAUGGUAUCAUUUGAAGAAUUGAUGUCCCUUUUCAUCUUGUGUCGCACAUGCGAUGUGAGAUGAACCUUGAAGUAGCCUUUGUGAUCCACUCUUUCGAUGUACACGCAUUGAUUUUGUGGCCCACUGUGUGUUGCUUGGUCUCAUGGAUAUGGAACCUGGUGUGGGCAUGGGAUCUUUACUAGUUCCUUGUUUGCCCUGGUUUAGCUUUUCUAAUACGAUUGUUUAUCACAUUUUAAUGUGGUAGGCUAUAUCAGAUAUGAAUGCUACCUGGUUGAUCCUGCC